UCUCUCGCCGGACCGGUACACGGCGGCGGCGCCGCCGGCGAGCGCCGCCUCAUCGGCCCCUCUCCAUCCCCCCUGUCCUCGUCGGCCCCUCUCCGGCCACUGUCCAAAUCGACAAGCAAAAUUCCAACAACCAAAUUUUCAGAAUUUCAGAGAACCAAAUCAACAACCAAAUUUCAGAGAACCAAAUUUCCAGAAAUUCCAAGAACCAAAUCGACAAGCAAAAUUCCAAAUCAACAAUUAAAAUCAACAACCAAGAUCGAAAUUAAAAUUUCAAACAAGAUCGAAAUUAAAAAUUUCUAGAAUCAAAUCAACACAAGAAUUUUGAAGAGAGAAGGCGUGGUGCGCAGAUCGACGCGGGUGGACGGCAGACGUGGACGACGCGAGUAAAUCCCCCAAAUCGUUGGAAGCACGACGGCGGUGGAAGGACGAUGGCAGUGGGAGAUGGUGGAGCCCCAAAUCGGAGCCCUAAAUCCCCAAACUCACCGCCGACUUCGCUUCGUCCCCAAAUCCACGAGGCUUCUUCUCCGCGAGGCCGACCAUGUCGCCGACGAUGGAGGCGGCACUGGAGGAAAGCGGCGUGUUAGAGGAGGGCGACGCGCUGGAGGAAGGAGUGAGGCCAAAGGUGUCGGCUACUGGUAGCAGCGAGCAAGCUUCUUCUUGUCGGCGACGCCCCCUCAUUCGCAAGCUUGAAGCUUUCUCGGCCGCCGGUCAUUUCUUCAUCGCGGGCUUCUUCUCCGGAGGCGGCGGCGUGAAGCUGGCGAAAGAUGAGAGACGAAGAGAGAGAGCGGAAGAUGAGAGACGAAGAGAGAGAG
This 812-nucleotide long non-coding RNA is filed under the name Salvia miltiorrhiza (redroot sage). RNAcentral describes it as "long non-coding RNA (SMIL_LNC011100)". The record is from RNAcentral. Lineage: Eukaryota; Viridiplantae; Streptophyta; Magnoliopsida; Lamiales; Lamiaceae.